AUGAUGGACCCAAGCCCAAGAUACAACACAAAUGCAUCUACUUCAAAUCUUAGCAGAAAAUGUGUGCUUUGCAGUAGAACACUAGAGCCUAGAACACGUUCACAUCAGCUCAUGUCCCUGAGAACUAACACUCAACAUCAUAUUAACAUCAGGAACAUAAUUGUGGAACGACUAACUCCAUUAGAGGUUACUGCAAAUGACUACAUCUGUGGGGCUUGUCACUCAUUAUUGCAAAGAGAUACCACACCUACUUCACAAGACUCUCCAGAUAUGCCAACCGGUGCCCCGGUAGGUCACCAACAAGUUUGUGUUGGAUGUGGUUGUUCAUUAUUGCGAACUUGAAGUCAUUGUUUGGAUACAGAGAAUAAUCAAGAUAUAUUAAACAUUGUUCGAAAUUGGAUUCAACCCAGAGAGAUUCGUCCUUCAGAUCUUCUUUGCCAUAGAUACUAUCAGAGAGCACGAAUUACUACAGUUGGUGCUUAUUUAAUGAAGCUGAGGACCGGUGAUUCAGAUGACAGAAUAGCUACAUUACUUGGCAUUUCAAGGAGUACUCUUACAAAAUAUGUAAUGAAAGCACGCAGUAUGAUGGAGGAACAUUUCGUACCAGCACAUUUAGGGUUACAACAUAUUAGUAGAGAGGAAGUAGCCCAAAGAAACCUUUAUGUUCCAGUCUCUUUUCGGGAAGCCAGGAAACGAUUUACCACAAAGAAAGGCUAUUGUCAUCAUGGAUGGUACAUACAUACAUUUAUGUGCAAAAAAGUAGCAAUUAUGCAUACCAAAAAAAAAACUUAUUCCCUAUACAAAUAUCGGAAUCUCGUUAAACCAUUUAUGGUACUUUGUUGUGAUGGCGACAUCAUUGAUGUAUUGGGCCCAUAUUUAAUAGAAAAUGUAGAACAUGACCAUUAAUAAAUAAUAAGUACCUA
This is a long non-coding RNA of Ostrinia nubilalis (European corn borer), 923 nucleotides long. RefSeq lists it as uncharacterized. The record is from RefSeq and is a predicted model, not a curated record. NCBI's taxonomy places the organism in Eukaryota, Metazoa, Arthropoda, Insecta, Lepidoptera, Crambidae. The transcript has 3 exons.